UACGUAGGGGGCAAGCGUUGUCCGGAUUUAUUGGGCGUAAAGAGCGUGUAGGCGGCCAUACAGGUCCGUUGUGAAAACUCGAGGCUCAACCUCGAGACGUCGAUGGAAACCGUAUGGCUAGAGUCCGGAAGAGGAGAGUGUAAUUCCUGGUGUAGCGGUGAAAUGCGCAGAUAUCAGGAAGAACACCCGUGGCGAAGGCGGCUCUCUGGGACGGUACUGACGCUGAGACGCGAAAGCGUGGGGAGCGAACAGG
RNAcentral lists this ribosomal RNA (253 nucleotides) under uncultured bacterium. Its description in RNAcentral is "partial 16S ribosomal RNA". It matches the Rfam family "Bacterial small subunit ribosomal RNA", at positions 524 to 776 of the family's 1533-position model. The record is from RNAcentral.